CACGUGAGCAACCUACCCUUGACUCUGGGAUAACAGUUGGAAACAGCUGCUAAUACCGGAUACGACCCCAGCAGGCAUCUGCCGGGGUGGAAAGCUCCGACGGUCAAGGAUGGGCUCGCGGCCUAUCAGCUAGUUGGUGAGGUAACGGCUCACCAAGGCGUCGACGGGUAGCCGGCCUGAGAGGGCGACCGGCCACACUGGGACUGAGAUACGGCCCAGACUCCUACGGGAGGCAGCAGUGGGGAAUAUUGCGCAAUGGGCGAAAGCCUGACGCAGCAACGCCGCGUGCGGGAUGACGGC
This 300-nucleotide ribosomal RNA is filed under the name uncultured Propionicimonas sp. Its description in RNAcentral is "bacterial SSU rRNA". It matches the Rfam family "Bacterial small subunit ribosomal RNA", at positions 114 to 415 of the family's 1533-position model. Lineage: Bacteria; Bacillati; Actinomycetota; Actinomycetes; Propionibacteriales; Nocardioidaceae. The record is from RNAcentral.